This is a long non-coding RNA of Dunckerocampus dactyliophorus (ringed pipefish), 3514 nucleotides long. RefSeq lists it as uncharacterized. NCBI's taxonomy places the organism in Eukaryota, Metazoa, Chordata, Actinopteri, Syngnathiformes, Syngnathidae. The transcript has 2 exons. The record is from RefSeq and is a predicted model, not a curated record.
AGCUGAGACCCCCGUUUGCACACAUUUAAAGACAGCGCCACGCCCAACAACGAGCCUUCAGCCGUCCAUCCCACUAGUUAAAGCUCUUUACGGGGGAGUGAGUGGGGGUGUGUGUUCUCAUGCAAUCAUCCAUCCCUGGAGGUAACAAAAGGUCAAGGACUCUCAUUUUUCAUGCCCUCCUAUCUCAAGCUGGCCUUCUUCAUCCUGUUCCUCAUGCUGAUUCCUGCCACGCAUGCUUAAAUUGCAUUUAGAUAGACAGAGAGACAUUUGACAUAGGCAGCGUGAAUCCCAAGACAACAAAAUGGGGGAAGAACUUCAUUCAUAUUUGUGUUUGUUUUGAGCGUCUGUAUUUUCCAACAGGCCACUUCUUGGUUCACAGAGAAUGAACGGACUUGUACUAUUUUGGUUUUAAACAGCGACAAGAAAAAAAAAAUCGGCAUUUUUAUAUGGAUUUGUACUACAAUAUUUAACCCCUAACAAAGUUUUGUAGGAAUCGUCAGUGGAGCUGUAUUGUAAUUUUGUUAUAUUUCAGUGCAGGCUUUUGCACCAUCUACAGCAUGGGUGUCCUAAGUGCUGCCUGGGGGCCAUUUGUGGCCCAAAGCUGUUUUUUUAAUUGCCUUUGGCAGAUUCUGAAAAUAAAUUAAACAGGAAAACUAAAAAAAACACUAAAAAAACAUGCAUCAUAGCGAUCAAAUGUAUCUUAUUUAUUAUGUAUUGUGUAAAACUAAGACAUGAAUAACAUCAAAUUAAAAGCACAAAAUGAAUGCCGACCCAACAUCCACCAGUUCAAGUUCCAGCCAAGUUUUUCCAGAGAGAUUAUUACAUCGCUGUUUGACGUGUGUGGUAAAAGGCAGUACGCUAGCAUGAAUUAACUUGAGACAAAUGUGCACAUUAGCACUCAAUAAGUCAUCAAAACUUACCUUUAUGCAUUCCCACAUAGUAUCAGCAUUUGACACCAAAUAUGAGGUGAAAGAAAAAUGGUAAAAAUACAGUAGUAGUCUAUCUGUGUGGCAUGAGAUAAAGUUAGCACACGCACAAUGGACAUGCAUCAAGUGAGACGGAUGUAACAGAGAGAAUCCGGCCACUUUUCAAAAUAAAACAUUAAAAAAAAUGAAAUAAUGGGAAUAAAUUUUUCUUUCAGAUGACCCAUGACCUAUAAGACAAAGCUUCAGAUGGAGGCUGCUUUUUUAAAAAAACAUAUUAAACUUCCAAACUAUAUUAAACUAGCACAUCGACAUGAGUUGGUUUACGAAAUAUACCUCAACGUGGCCCCCGCUAUUUUACAAAAUUUUACAAAACUAUUCAUUGCCUUUUUUUUAAAAACCCACAGAGAGCAUGCAAACUGCACACAGACAUGUCCAAUGGAGAUCCGAACAGAUUCAAUCUCUUCUAGUGCCUGAUUGCAGUCUUAUUAACAGUAGUAACAUCAAACAACCUCAAGACCCAAAUUUUGAGGUAAAGUUCUGAUUGUUAAGGACUAAAGGUUGUGGUGCUGCAAAAUGUAGAUUUGUGUCUACAUUUUGGCCAAAAGUCCACGUAAGGGUGGUAGCAUGGUUAGUGGAGGAGCGUCCGUGGAAUUAAAAGGCAAAGACAAAGCAUUAGGAGACAUCAGGACGAAGCAGCUGUGAGGAGGCCGGAGCACUUUUGUCCUUGUUAAAGACGCGGCCAUAUGGUGGACAUCUGAGCUGAUUUUUAUUGAUGCUCUUAUAGCUUGGCAAGCUAGAAUGGGGAGGGAGGAGGGCAGGGUUGGUGCCUGUUUACCUGGCAACCACCAAGCUGAUGGAGAAGAGCGUUCCACUUUGUUAAAAAAUGUUAAAAAAUCCCCAAGUUGGCACACCUUCAUAUGCGUGAUAUGUACAAGCCUGUAAUGGCGCCUUUUGUAGCCUGUCGGUAACAGCAUCACUUCCUGCCAUUAUGUGUCGUCAAACCGUGAGUAGUUUUACUUUGUUUUAGUUUUAUUCUACAGUAUUUACAAUGAAACCCACUUAUCUCAACGCCCCUGGGACCGGCUGACUGAUGUCAACGUAAGCGGUUGUCAACAUAAACCAUAACUACAAUUUAGGUUAAUAAUGCCAUGUUUUUAUUUUAAAGCUUACUUUGUACUGAACAGGAAGUCAGUGUGUGCCCGUUUUAAUGCAAUGCAACGAGACAGUAAUUAAGUUGCUGUUGUCGUUUCACGCUGCUUGGCGAUAAUGAUGGAGCUAACAAUGCUACAACACAUCGACAUAAACGGACCCAUUUUUCAUAGAAAUGACCCCUUUGGCUCUCAAAUUUUAUCAGCCAUGUCAUGUCGACAUUGACGUUCUAGUACGGCGGACUGGAACUUGAUGAUGAUGGUCCAAAUAGACAAGUUGUCCAUAUACUGUAAGUAAGAAUUUCCCCUUGUGGGCCUAAUAAAGGCAUAUCUUACGUUAAGCAGUACAGACAUCCACUGUAGUAGCUUCUUUUUAGCUUCUUGUAUGACCGUUAACAAAGAUUUUAUAACGGCAGAGGUGUGAACAUGCAACUAGUCAGUUGACUCGAUAUGUUUUUGCUAGAAAAUGACUUUGAAAUUACAACAACUUGAAAGUCAACCAGUCAACUAAUUGAGUUGAUUGUAAACACUGUAAAAGUGGUACAAUUCCAUCCAUCCAUCUGUUUUCUUCCGCUUAUCCAGGUCCAGCAGUCCCAGUAGGGAAGUCCAGACUUCCUGGUCAGCCACCUCUUCCAGUUCCACCAGCAGUACACCAAGGCUAGCUGUGCCCUGCCAUUGGUUGGCGACCAGUCCAGGGUGUACCCCGCCUCUCGCCCGAAGUCAGCUGGGAUAGGUUCCAGCAUACCCUAGUAAACGGCAUAGAAAAUGGAUGGAUGGAUGGAUGGAUGGAUGGCGUCUCCAAGGUGUAUUCAAAGUUUUAUUGUACUGUAGUAUCUAACUUCUUUUUACACUUGUAUGAUGGUGACCAUUUGAACCUGCAAUUAAUCAGCUGACUUUAUAUGUAAGGGGAUUGCUUUGAAAUUAGAACAACUUGAAAGUCAACCAAGAAAUCAUGUUGAUUCUAAACGCCGCAAAAGUGGUACAAUUUUGAAGUUCAACCAAGAUUUUCGUUGAAUAUAUGGAUCAAAAUUUGAACAAAACUUGGAGUUCAAACCGUCAUCAUGAGGCACACAAGACAUCAGGAGAUCUAAAGUACUUUCUAAAGUAGUUGUGUUUUUGGGCUUUUUUGACAGACCUUUGUGUCUUCCAGGCGUGUGUGGUUUUAUUUCAUUUUGCUUUUAUCAGGUAGUUGCUGGUAGCUUCUUUUGAAACUAACAAAGGUUUUAUGACGUUUGAAGAUCCACUAAUCAACGUACUGUAUAAGUAGGGGGUGGUUGCUUUGAAAUGACUUGGAUUAUGAAGUGAUGAACUGAGUAUGAGGCUUUUUUGACAACUUGGAAAUGAAGCAGCACCACAGGUUGUUGCUUUACAAAUUACAAUGUAUGUGUGACAAUGUGUCCGUGCAUGCAUGCAAAAAAUAAAAAGUCAAAGAUCACAGUA